Molecule: long non-coding RNA, 256 nt
Organism: Cucurbita maxima (winter squash)
Lineage: Eukaryota; Viridiplantae; Streptophyta; Magnoliopsida; Cucurbitales; Cucurbitaceae
Exons: 2
Source: RefSeq, a predicted model, not a curated record
AGUUCGAAAUGCAAGAUUUUCUACAAAUCUUAAGUGUCUACUGGAUAACUUAAAGUGGAUUAAGUGACAUGCAUUUGGUCACGGCUCUCUACCGUCAAUUUCUUUUACAAAAAAUCCUAGUUGGAUUAGAUUUGCAACACAGUCGAUAUCCCAAAUUUUGAGAAAGGAUGGAAGGAAUGUAAAAGGUUGAAGCUGGUUGAUUUUAGUUACUCAAGGUUAGAGAAAAUUCUUGACUUCUCUACCUCAUGAAGAAUUG